Molecule: ribosomal RNA, 319 nt
Filed under: uncultured eukaryote
Lineage: Eukaryota
Description: partial 18S ribosomal RNA
Rfam family: Eukaryotic small subunit ribosomal RNA
Source: RNAcentral
CCCUUAGAUGUUCUGGGCAGCACGCGCGAUACAAUGGUCUUCGCAAACGGAUGCAUUCUCGAAGGAGAAUGCCAAUCUUGGAAUCUAUGCCUUGGUCGGGACAGUUGCUUGCAAUUUUUCGACUCGAACCAGGAAUUCCUUGUAAUCGUGAUUCAUCACAUCACGAUGAAUACGUCCCUGCCCUUUGUACACACCGCCCGUCGCUCCUACCGAUCGAAGAGUUAGGUGAAUUGUUUUGAUCGAUAAGAUUUGACUAUGGUCAACUCUCGUUGUGAAAUUCUGUGAAUCUGACUGUUUAGAGGAAGGAAAAGUCGUAACA